RNAcentral lists this ribosomal RNA (538 nucleotides) under uncultured bacterium. Its description in RNAcentral is "partial 16S ribosomal RNA". It matches the Rfam family "Bacterial small subunit ribosomal RNA", at positions 355 to 888 of the family's 1533-position model. The record is from RNAcentral.
UGGGGAAUUUUGGACAAUGGGCGAAAGCCUGAUCCAGCAAUGCCGCGUGUGUGAAGAAGGCCUUCGGGUUGUAAAGCACUUUUGUCCGGAAAGAAAUCCUUGGCUCUAAUACAGUCGGGGGAUGACGGUACCGGAAGAAUAAGCACCGGCUAACUACGUGCCAGCAGCCGCGGUAAUACGUAGGGUGCAAGCGUUAAUCGGAAUUACUGGGCGUAAAGCGUGCGCAGGCGGUUUGCUAAGACCGAUGUGAAAUCCCCGGGCUCAACCUGGGAACUGCAUUGGUGACUGGCAGGCUAGAGUAUGGCAGAGGGGGGUAGAAUUCCACGUGUAGCAGUGAAAUGCGUAGAGAUGUGGAGGAAUACCGAUGGCGAAGGCAGCCCCCUGGGCAAUACUGACGCUCAUGCACGAAAGCGUGGGGAGCAAACAGGAUUAGAUACCCUGGUGGUCCACGCCCUAAACGAUGUCAACUAGUUGUUGGGGAUUCAUUCCUUAGUAACGUAGCUAACGCGUGAAGUUGACCGCCUGGGGAGUACGGUCG